RNAcentral lists this ribosomal RNA (509 nucleotides) under uncultured bacterium. Its description in RNAcentral is "bacterial SSU rRNA". It matches the Rfam family "Bacterial small subunit ribosomal RNA", at positions 19 to 518 of the family's 1533-position model. The record is from RNAcentral.
CUGGCUCAGAUGAACGCUGGCGGCAGGCCUAACACAUGCAAGUCGAACGGUAACAGGAAGCAGCUUGCUGCUUCGCUGACGAGUGGCGGACGGGUGAGUAAUGUCUGGGAAACUGCCCGAUGAGGGGGAUAACUACUGGAAACGGUAGCUAAUACCGCAUAAUGUCGCAAGACCAAAGAGGGGGACCUUCGGGCCUCCUGCCAUCGGAUGUGCCCAGAUGGGAUUAGCUUGUUGGUGAGGUAACGGCUCACCAAGGCGACGAUCCCUAGCUGGUCUGAGAGGAUGACCAGCCACACUGGAACUGAGACACGGUCCAGACUCCUACGGGAGGCAGCAGUGGGGAAUAUUGCACAAUGGGCGCAAGCCUGAUGCAGCCAAUGCCGCGUGUAUGAAGAAGGCCUUCGGGUUGUAAAGUACUUUCAGCGGGGAGGAAGGGGUUAAGGUUAAUAACCUUAGCCAUUGACGUUACCCGCAGAAGAAGCACCGGCUAACUCCGUGCCAGCCGCCGC